Echinops telfairi (small Madagascar hedgehog) is the source of this 136-nucleotide small nucleolar RNA. The record is from Ensembl. NCBI's taxonomy places the organism in Eukaryota, Metazoa, Chordata, Mammalia, Afrosoricida, Tenrecidae.
GAAGUUGACCUUGAAAAUAUUAUUGUUCAACAGUUGUACAGUGCAACCAUGGAGAGUCACUCACAUCGAAACAUGUGGUUCCUGCCGGCAGGGUCUGUAUAGUGAUCAGAUUUUCUGUGCGCUGCUUUCUUUCAUA